AAGGCUUGACCUCAAAUCAGGU
RNAcentral lists this ribosomal RNA (22 nucleotides) under Pisolithus tinctorius. Its description in RNAcentral is "partial 28S ribosomal RNA". Lineage: Eukaryota; Fungi; Basidiomycota; Agaricomycetes; Boletales; Pisolithaceae. The record is from RNAcentral.